CCAAGUCCUGUCUUGUGGUUUGGGGGCGCCUCUCCGCCUGUGAAAAGAAACAGACACACACACACGAGAGAAAAACAAGACAUUUAAAAUGGUCAAAUUGAAGAGGAAGAAAACGUGUAAUGCUACUGAAAAAAAAUAAUCUCGCAUCCGACAAGCAACAGAACAUUGAAAAUACUCCAUCCGUGCGGUUUUACUAGGAUUUGAAAUGGUGCUGUGAGUCCUGCUGAUUGUACCCCAGUUAUAGUGCGGUAUAAUUGACGGGGUACAGGUGUACAAAGUGCCGUGUGUGUUGAAACGCACCCCCCAACCCCCCGAAAAUAUCUAAACAAUUCAUUGCCUGUCCUUAAUUACAUACCCUCAGAAAAAAAAAAAAAAACUUCAAAGACACAAGUUUGUGUUUAUUUAUUUAUUAGACAGAGCGAAACCAAGAAGUCCCCAUCGAGAUGAAACGUGCAUUUGAAGGAGGUCCCGGAGACUGAAGGAAAGGCUGCAAUAACACAACAGCGACAUGAAGCACAACUGCGCUGAGGUGAUACGGGAAAGUGCUCCUUCUUAUCACGGCUGUCACCUGACCUUUCACCUUCUUUUAAUCGGGGAGCAGCAUCCUGUAACCUUUGACCCCAGAGACAAUGGCUGCUUGACCGUUUCCCAGUGUGCGCAGUCAGUGGGAACAACAGAUACAUGAACACAGCGCCUGGGAAACAAACUGUUUAUUGUGUGGACUGAAUCUCUUACUUUCCUGUCCUCGACUUCCGGACCGUCUGCCUGUGUGGCCUCGCUCCAGGGGGAGGGGAAUGCUAUGUCCUGCCCAAGCUCUCAAAGACCCAGGAUGUGGAGCUCAGCACAAUGACAUCCCGCUAACUCUCUUCAGUAAAUGGCAGUUCCCAUGAGCAAUGGCUAUUCUUUUAAGUAAGUGUGGCAUUUACCACAAGUUGAUAUUACUUCAAAGCAAUUAUUUUGAAUUGGGAGCUCCUCUCUGUAGUCUUUUAUCUCUAACCACUAGACCACGCUGCCUCCCUCCCUCCCAGUCUCUCAGCUCUAACAACUAGAGCCACACUGCAUCUCUCGAUCCCAGUCCCUCAGCUCUAACCACUAGAGCCACACUGCCUCCCUCCCUCCUAAUCCCUUAGCUCUAAACACUAGAGCCACAAUGCCUCCCUCCCUCCUAGUCCCCCAGCUCUAACCACUAGAGCCAAACUGCUUCCCUCCCUCCCAGUCCCUCAGCUCUAACCACUAGAGCCACACUGCUUCCCUCCCUCCCAGUCCCUCAUCUCUAACCAAUCAGCUGGUGACUGGCUGUCCCAAUCGCAUUGACAAUGGAUAAUGGCUGUGCUGAUGUACUCCUCAGAUGGGCAACAGACUCCUUUGUUGUGCCAAUAAGGUGUUAACGGUAACCCUAAUGGCCAUCUCUGAUUAACAGCCUGAGGGGAAGCUGCUGGGAGGGGGGGGGGGGGGGGUGGUGUGCUCCGUGGCGCCCCAUGCUGGGCAGCUCCAGGAUUAUAGAGAUUGAUUUAAAGAUGUAGAGACUAGGGUUUUAAAACCAUUUCCCUACCCUGACUACCCCCCAAUAUUCUUGCCACCCUAAAACCCCCUCUUCCCCUUGUAUUGUCUCCAGCAGGGGUAAUGAGGGUAUCAUCACAUCUAAUGUAGUUAAUGUAGGUCAUCAAGAACUUCAAGCAUGAAGCAGAAAUGAUUCGGGAAAACUAAGUCAAGUAGAGAAAUGUUUCGCUCUAUAACUUGAAGCACUCAAGAUUGAGAUCAGUACUAAUGUUAACAAGAGACUUUUCAAAGACGAUGAUGGAAACAGUGUUGUGUGAUUAUGUGCUUACCAGUGUGUUGCAGUAUAAUGAGUACUGAAACCAAACACAUUUCUUUAAGUUGAUAUGUACAGUUGGUAUAACAGCGUCUCGUUGAGUGGGUAAGAGGACUGCCAAGCGAAGCUGAGAAACCAGACGACCCUCCUGUGCUGUAGGAAACAGGGUCAGCAUGCAUGUUAACUUGCUCAAGACUCGAAUGAAAUUGCCCUCAGCCUAUCCUUAAUGGCUGCUGGUCUCCACCUCCCAUCAAAGCACCACACGAUUUGGCACAGCACAGUCUGUGCUGGAGAGAGGACUGAAUGGAAGGGAGGCAGGCAGGGGGUGUUCAGGUCAGGAUUGAUCUCCACCUCUCCCUCUCCAGCUCCAUCUCUCUCAGGGCUGUGUGGGGAGUCUCUAGCCCCCCCCCCCCCCCCCCCC
Long non-coding RNA from Polyodon spathula (Mississippi paddlefish), 2234 nucleotides. RefSeq lists it as uncharacterized. The record is from RefSeq and is a predicted model, not a curated record. The transcript has 3 exons. Lineage: Eukaryota; Metazoa; Chordata; Actinopteri; Acipenseriformes; Polyodontidae.